UUGAGCCGUAUGCGGGGAAACUCGCACGUACGGUUCUUAGGGGGGAGCAAACCAGCAAUGGUAUGCUCCUACCCUCC
This is a non-coding RNA of Cupriavidus metallidurans CH34, 77 nucleotides long. The record is from Rfam. Lineage: Bacteria; Pseudomonadati; Pseudomonadota; Betaproteobacteria; Burkholderiales; Burkholderiaceae.